Molecule: long non-coding RNA, 569 nt
Filed under: Homo sapiens (human)
Lineage: Eukaryota; Metazoa; Chordata; Mammalia; Primates; Hominidae
Description: HSALNT0220835
Source: RNAcentral
GUAAAAGUUUGCUCUAACUAGUCCAAGCUGCUGUCACAAGCUUUUAGAAAUGAUGUAACCAUGGGGCAGUUGACUGUCGUCAUGUUCUUUGCUAUUUUCAUGACUCUGGAUGUGCUUUUCCUAUUCCCUGGAUUGCCCUUUCCCUCGAUUCCUCUGCAGGACUGGGCUUUAUUAAUCUCCAUUUCCUUGAGCUUGGCUAUAGUAGGUGUUCAAUAAACAUUUGUUUUGUUGUGUGCUUUGUAAAUAGGCAAUGAAGCUGAUUUCACAAGAUAGGCACAAAAGUUAGUUUCAUUACAACACAUUACCAACAGCUGUAUUUUUAACUUUUAACAUAUCUCAUUCUAAAUCCUGUGGCAGCACAACCUCCUUCCGUCAUACCUGGAGAUAAAUUUUCUUUCAAAAUCUAAUAUGCACUGUAUUUAUAGAAUAUGAAACAUACCGACCAUGUUUUGCAAAAAUGGGAAAGGCAUAACUUAGCUUUGGGGCAUGUAAGUAACAACUCCUGAUAGGAGAAGAAAUGUAUUCAGAAAGCUCAAAUUAGAAAUAAAAUGGGAGACUCUAGAUUUGUG